Non-coding RNA from Saccharibacillus sacchari DSM 19268, 190 nucleotides. It matches the Rfam family "6S / SsrS RNA". Rfam says of the family: E. coli 6S RNA was the first non coding RNA to be sequenced, but its function was unknown until recently. It consists of 184 nucleotides that fold into an extended hairpin structure with a large single-stranded internal bulge. The record is from Rfam. NCBI's taxonomy places the organism in Bacteria, Bacillati, Bacillota, Bacilli, Caryophanales, Paenibacillaceae.
UACAUCCUGCGAUGUACGUUUCGGUCUUUCGUUGUUUUGAACCAAUGAUGAAGUCUCGGGAGAUCUACAUUAGGCGCCGCGAUGAAAAGCCCUGUCUAUAUGACAUGGGGACUUCAAAGCCCGUCUUGCGGUCACCCACCUGCGAUAGCAGGUUCGAGACAAUGUUACCGGACGGCAGAGCGGGAUCUCU